CAUAAAGCAAAAAACAGAGAUGGGGGGUGGGGAUGAAAGAAAUCAUAUAUUUCUUUUCUAGGGCAUAAAUGUUGCACGAAGCCCUGGGAUCUCUAGAUGUGGGUCCAGCUUUCCCCAGGCUGCUUUUCGGUUCCUCCUCCCCUUCCAUCUCCCCCGCAAACAACCUUGGAAACCUGGAGGGAAGGGGCACCAAUCAAAGGGCAGAGGAGGAAGGUGAAGGAGGAGUGGGUAUAUAGAGAGCAGGUAGCCGGCAGGGGGAGGGGGUUGCAUCUCCUCAUCUUCUCCACCUGCGCUCCGUGCUGGCAACCGAGAAGGUUCGCCCUGGAAGGAAUUACCAGCCAAUGGGUUGGGCAUUUGAAGUGGUGAAUGGAAUUUUACAAAGAGAGAUCAGCAUUGAUAAAGGCAUGGAGGCGUGAGUGAGCAGACAGUAUCCAACAACCAGUAGAGAAGCUCUGACCUUUCCAGGGAGAAGAUAAAAUACAGAGCUGGGUUGGAGGUGUGACUCAGUGGUAGAGUCCUGCCUAGGCCUCAGGUUCAAUCCAUAGUACCACAAAAAAAAGAAAACAAAAAAGAGGAAGGAAGGAAAAGAGUGUGCUCAGAAAGCUACCAAGAAGGGCCCGAUGCUGAACUUGCACAACUCUGCAGAACUGGAUCUCCUUACUGCAGCAGGCACCUGCUGGGACAUCCAAUUUUGCAAGAAAGGAUUCCAGUGCAAAGGUUCUGCAGAUACUGAUUGGCUCAGCAUGCGUUCCACCAGACCAGCGAGAUGAGAUGCAGCCUCUUGUCACUUCAGAUGGCAUGAGAAAGUGAGGCAUCAGAAAGGGAAUAAUCAGAGUGCAGCUUCCUAGACCUGGUAUGGUGAAAGGUCUUCUACAACCAGGGGCUUUCCUGCAUCUGCUGGAGGCUGCAGAAGUGACAACCCACCUGAAACCUAGAUUCUCUGGAGAACCAAAUUCAAUUUGAAUGUGUCUAUGCAUCCUAGAACCCCUAUUACUAAGGACAAAUCAUUAUGAUGGAAAUGAGGAGUAACAGUCUCCAAUUCUUUGAGAAAAUUCCAUUCUUUUCAUCUCUACUACUAAGAGAAGGAGCUGUGACUGAAAGACCUGUCGAACAAUUUCAAGGAGGAAAAGUUUGUUUGGAGGCUCAUGGUUUCAGAGGUCUUCAUCCAUAGAUGGCCGACUCUAUUCCUUGGGACCUAAGGUGAAGCAGCACAUCGGGGCAGAAGUGUGUGGCAGAAGAAAGCACUGGGGAUGUGGCACCAGGAAGGGACAGACAGAGCUCUGCUCAAGGAUGACAUGAUAUCAACCCCAAAGGCAACCCCCCCCCCCAGGAACCCACCUACAGUUGACACCCAGUUAGUCCUUAUCAGGGAUCAACACACUGAUUAAGUUAAGGCUCUCCUAACUCGAUCAUUUUACCUCUAAACUUUCUUGCAUUGUUUCACACAUGAGCUUCUGGGAGACACCUCACAUCUAAACCAUAACAAUGUCGAAAUCAAUAAUUUACCAGCUCAUUAUAUUACCAUCUUCUCUCUCGUUUAACACUGAGAUCCUGGAAGGACUUCUUUGUAGUGGGAUGGGUGAUCAACUUUUCUGUUCUUAACUUUUCCCCUUUUUAUUUUUCUUGAGGUCUACCAAACUUACAUAAAACGUACAAGAUUAAGUGGAUAGCUCAAAGAAUAUUCAUAGUAUAGUACAAUCAACAUCAGUGUAACCACCCAGCCAAAGAGGGAAAAUGUCAACAGCACCUUUGGAAGCCCCCCCAUCUUUCAGUCAAUAAUCACCUUCCCUGGGCCCUAGUGUGAUCACUGGCCUGACUUCUGUCACUACAAAUAUGUCUUGCCUAUUCCUAGACUGUAAGGGGAAAAGGAAUUAAAAAAAAAAAAUCUGUCCUCUUUUGUUCUACAUCAUAACUUAGAGUGUACCAUUCUAUUGUGUGAAUACACCAGCACUUCUUCAUCCCUUCUCUUGGCAGGGACAAAUAGGUAUUUCCUACUUUGGGGCUAUUGUGAAUAAGGCUGCUAGAAACACUCCUGUGAAUGUACAGGACAUGUGCACUCAUUUAUCUUGAAGCAUUAGAAUUACAGCAUCAUGGGCAUACAUACAUAUAUUUAGUUUUGGAAGAGACAGCACACAAUUUUCCAAAGUAGUUGUAAUCAUUUGCCCUCCCACUGGCAACGUACAAGAGUUUCAGUUGUUCUGUGUUCAUGCCAACCCUUGGCAUCGACUGUCUUCUUGCCUUUAGGUUUCAGUCUGUAUUUCCCUGGUGACUGAGGUCUUUUGCCAUUUGGAUAUCUUCUUUUAUGAAAAGUCUGUUCAAGCAUUUUGCUCAUUUUUAAUUGAGUUGUCUUUUUGUUUUACCAUUUCUUUGUAUAAUCUGGAAGUGAGUCCUUUGUUAGCUGUAUGUACGGUAAAUAUCCUAGUCUGAGGCUUUUCUGAGUAGUGUCUUUUGAUGAAUAAGAGUUUUUGAUGUUUAAUAAAGCAUAAUUUAUUAAUAUUUUUAUGGGGUUUUUUUGCAUGUCAUGUUUAAGAAAUCUUUACCUACUUCAAAUCUUGCAUCUUUUGACUCAGGAAGCUCAGAGCCAUUUAGCUUUUUUGUUUUUUGACGGAGUUAGAAGAUCCUGACAAUUAAGCUUUUGUUUUUCUCCUUCCUUUUCCAAGAGAGGAAAGAUGGGGAGAGAUAAGAAAAGAAAUAGAUUGGUCCCAAAGCAGUUGGAAGCUUAUGGCUACCCUGGGGGAACUGGAAGAAGGAAGUAAGGGAAGAGAAGAUGAUAACUAAGGACUCAUAAUUGGUGGCAGAAUUUUCUUGAAAGAAAAUAACAGCAACCAUCAAACUAGCCAGACCUACCUCAAGCCUUGUACCGAUAGGUCCCCACGCUUUUGGUGAAGACAGAAUUCAACACCCGACAACUGGCACAGUUUCCUGAUCAGAUUUAGAGCAGUAAAGCAAUGCACAAUGGGUAGAGGUGCAAAUGAAACUGAUGUCUUUCUUGCAGCAGGAUGGACUAAAAACAGAAGUGUCCAGUGCUUGCCUUGGAUAUGUCUAGGAUGUCGCUUCCUGGUUGCUUGGCCCCACCUGUCUCAAUUCAGUCACUGCUUUGGGGGAGCCAUUUCUGUGUGGGUUUUAAUUAGCCUCAGGUAAUUUGCAAGCCAAGAGCUUCACCUCAGUUCAGUGACUGUCUCUUAUCUCCAGGCUUCUUUGCUGACAGAGGCCGGGAUCUCAAGAAUCCACUUAGUACUAAUUCAUGCACAACCCUAAAGGGCUGGGGAUUUAAUCACCAAUGUUUGACACAUGGUGACUGGAAGCCAAUGGAUAAAUGCUUCCCCUUUUCUUUCCCCAUACAGAAGUUCCUGUACUGCAUUUUAUAGCUUCUCAGUCUUUCCAUGGAAUCCAGAAACCACUUUCCAUAAUGGAGGACUGCUCUCCUAUCCAUCUUUGUAUUGAUGUCACCUCCUUCCCUGCUCUACUUCACUUGGUCCCAUCCCUUCAUUUUGGCUCCUGGUUACCACUAUGGCCGUUAAAUUUUUGUCCCAAGCUCUGCUUCCUGGGAAACUCAGGCUAAGAUGACAUUGAAUAAGACUUCUGUUUGAUUUUACUUCAUCAGGUUUCAAAUGUGGGGCCCUUUUACUCCUUUACAAUUUCAAAGGAAGACUCACUCCUCUUUUCCUGGGAAGGUAUCACUAUGAAUUAAGUUUAAAUAUCUUCUAUACAAGUCAGCUAUAUGGGCCAUUUAUCCAAGAACAAAUAGCUUGGGGCUGGUGUUGUGGCUCAGUGGUAAAG
Molecule: non-coding RNA, 3780 nt
Organism: Ictidomys tridecemlineatus (thirteen-lined ground squirrel)
Lineage: Eukaryota; Metazoa; Chordata; Mammalia; Rodentia; Sciuridae
Source: RefSeq, a predicted model, not a curated record